GGCAAGAGCAGAGUAAUGGUUUGAGUGUUGGACUAUGACUCUAGAGACCAGGGUUCGAAUCCCGGCUCAGCCA
This is a non-coding RNA of Phrynosoma platyrhinos (Desert horned lizard), 73 nucleotides long. The record is from the annotation of a GenBank genome assembly. Lineage: Eukaryota; Metazoa; Chordata; Lepidosauria; Squamata; Phrynosomatidae.